GUGUCUCCAUGGCGUCCCUAUGUGUCCCUAUGUGUCCCUAUGUGUCUCCAUGGGAACCCUACGUGUCUCCAUGGCGUCCCUACGGGUCCCUAUGGGUCGCAAUGUGUCGCUCUGUGUCCCCAUGUGUCGGUGUGUGUCCCCAUGGUGGCUGUGUGUCUCUAUGUGUCCCUAUGUGUCCCUACGUGUCCCUAUGUGUCUCUGUGUGUCCCUAUGUGUCUCAGUGUGUCUCUAUGUGUCCCUACGUGUCUCCAUGGGGUCCCAAUGGGUCGCUAUGGGUCGCUAUGGGUCGCAGUGUGUUGGUGUGUGUCCCCCAGGUGGCUGUGUGUCUCUAUGUGUCUGUAUGUGUCCGUAUGUGUCCCUGUGGGUCCCUAUGUGUCCCUAUGUGUCUCCAUGGCGUCCCUAUGGGUCCCUAUGGGUCGCUAUGGGUCGCAAUGUGUCCCCAUGUGUAGGUGUGCGUCCCCCCGGUGGCUGUGUGUCUCUAUGUGUCCCUAUGGGUCCCUAUGGGUCCCUAUGUGUCCCUAUGUGUCCCUAUGUGUCUCUAUGUGUCUCAGUGUGUCUCUAUGUGUCCCUAUGUGUCCCUAUGUGUCUCCAUGGCAUCCCUAUGUGUCUCCAUGGCAUCCCUAUGUGUCCCUAUGUGUCCCUAUGUGUCUCCAUGGGGUCCCUAUGAGUCGCUAUGGGUCGCUAUGGGUCGCAAUGUGUCCCCAUGUGUCAGUAGGUGUCCCCAUGGGUGGCUGUGUGUCUCUAUGUGUCUCAGUGUGUCUCCAUGUGUCUCUAUGUGUCUCUAUGUGUCCCUACGUGUCUCUAUGUGUCCCUAUGUGUCUCCUUGGGGUCCCUAUGGGUCGCUAUGGGUCCCUAUGUGUCCCUAUGGGUCCCUAUGUGUCUGUAUGUGUCCCUACGUGUCCCUAUGGGUCCCUAUGGGUCUCUGUGUGUCUCUAUGGGUCCCUAUGUGUCCCUAUGUGUCUGUAUGUGUCUGUAUGGCUCUCUAUGUAUCCCUAUGGGUCUCUAUGGGUCUCUAUGGAUCUCUAUGGGUCACAGUGGCUCUCUACGUUUCUCUAUGGUUCUCUAUGUGUCCCUAUGUGUCCCUAUGUGUCCCUAUGGGUCCCUAUGUGUCCCUAUGUGUCUCUAUGGGUCUCUGUGUGUCUCUAUGGGUCCC
Molecule: long non-coding RNA, 1153 nt
Filed under: Gallus gallus (chicken)
Lineage: Eukaryota; Metazoa; Chordata; Aves; Galliformes; Phasianidae
Description: lncRNA (ENSGALG00010001294.1)
Source: RNAcentral